This 497-nucleotide ribosomal RNA is filed under the name uncultured bacterium. RNAcentral's name for it is "partial 16S ribosomal RNA". It matches the Rfam family "Bacterial small subunit ribosomal RNA", at positions 28 to 507 of the family's 1533-position model. The record is from RNAcentral.
GAUGAACGCUGGCGGCGUGCCUAAUACAUGCAAGUCGAGCGAACGGACGAGAAGCUUGCUUCUCUGAUGUUAGCGGCGGACGGGUGAGUAACACGUGGAUAACCUACCUAUAAGACUUGGAUAACUUCGGGAAACCGUAGCUAAUACCGGAUGAUAUUUUUAACCUCAUGGUUCAAAAGUUAAAGACGUUCUUGCUGUCACUUAUAGAUGUAUCCUCGCUGCAUUAGCUAGUUGGUAAGGUAACGGCUUACCAAGGCAACGAUGCAUAGCCGACCUGAGAGGGUGAUCGGCGACAAUGGAACUGAGACACGGUCAAGACGACUACGGGAGGCAGCAGUAGGGAAUCUGCCGCAAUGGGCGAAAGCCUGACGGAGCAACGCCGCGUGAGAGAUGAAGGUCUUCGGAUCGUAAAACUCUGUUAUUAGGGAAGAACAUAUGUGUAAGUAACUGUGCACAUCGUGACGGUACCUAAUCAGAAAGCCACGGCUAACUACGUG